This 513-nucleotide ribosomal RNA is filed under the name uncultured bacterium. RNAcentral's name for it is "bacterial SSU rRNA". It matches the Rfam family "Bacterial small subunit ribosomal RNA", at positions 28 to 525 of the family's 1533-position model. The record is from RNAcentral.
GACGAACGCUGGCGGCGUGCCUAAUACAUGCAAGUCGAGCGGACCAAAGGGAGCUUGCUCCUGGAGGUCAGCGGCGAACGGGUGAGUAACACGUGGGCAACCUGCCUGUAAGACUGGGAUAACAUCGAGAAAUCGGUGCUAAUACCGGAUAAUAAAAAGAACUGCAUGGUUCUUUUUUGAAAGAUGGUUUCGGCUAUCACUUACAGAUGGGCCCGCGGCGCAUUAGCUAGUUGGUGAGGUAACGGCUCACCAAGGCAACGAUGCGUAGCCGACCUGAGAGGGUGAUCGGCCACACUGGGACUGAGACACGGCCCAGACUCCUACGGGAGGCAGCAGUAGGGAAUCUUCCGCAAUGGACGAAAGUCUGACGGAGCAACGCCGCGUGAGUGAUGAAGGUUUUCGGAUCGUAAAACUCUGUUGUUAGGGAAGAACAAGUGCCGUUCGAAAGGGCGCACCUUGACGGUACCUAACGANAAAGCCACGGCUAACUACGUGCCAGCAGCCGCGGUAAAG